GAUGAACGCUGGCGGCGUGCCUAAUACAUGCAAGUCGAGCGAACGGACGAGAAGCUUGCUUCUCUGAUGUUAGCGGCGGACGGGUGAGUAACACGUGGAUAACCUACCUAUAAGACUGGGAUAACUUCGGGAAACCGGAGCUAAUACCGGAUAAUAUUUUGAACCGCAUGGUUCAAUAGUGAAAGACGGUCUUGCUGUCACUUAUAGAUGGAUCCGCGCUGCAUUAGCUAGUUGGUAAGGUAACGGCUUACCAAGGCAACGAUGCGUAGCCGACCUGAGAGGGUGAUCGGCCACACUGGAACUGAGACACGGUCCAGACUCCUACGGGAGGCAGCAGUAGGGAAUCUUCCGCAAUGGGCGAAAGCCUGACGGAGCAACGCCGCGUGAGUGAUGAAGGUCUUCGGAUCGUAAAACUCUGUUAUUAGGGAAGAACAUAUGUGUAAGUGACUGUGCACAUCUUGACGGUACCUAAUCAGAAAGCCACGGCUAACUACGUG
This 497-nucleotide ribosomal RNA is filed under the name uncultured bacterium. RNAcentral's name for it is "partial 16S ribosomal RNA". It matches the Rfam family "Bacterial small subunit ribosomal RNA", at positions 28 to 507 of the family's 1533-position model. The record is from RNAcentral.